This 323-nucleotide ribosomal RNA is filed under the name Taenia serialis. Its description in RNAcentral is "partial 12S ribosomal RNA". The record is from RNAcentral. Lineage: Eukaryota; Metazoa; Platyhelminthes; Cestoda; Cyclophyllidea; Taeniidae.
UUUGUAGUAUUAUCUUAGUUUAGUAACUAAAAUGGUUUGGCAGUGAGUGAUUCUUUUUAGGGGAAGGUGUGGUGUAAAGGAUGUUCCGCCUAUUAAUUUACUUUUAUUAUGUUGGUGUAUAUCUGGUUUAAUAUUAUUGUUGAAUAAUAUAAGUUUGUGUAAUUUAUUAGUUAAGCCAAGUCUAUGUGCUGCUUAUAGAAGUAUUCAUGCGUUACUUUAAUAAAGUUUUAGUUGUAAGCACUAUUAUAUUUAGGACUUAAAAGUAAUGUUAAAUUAGUUUGUUAAUGUGAAAUAAGUUUAGCUCACGUACACACCGCCCGUCA